GCCACCACCUCGCCCAGCUUCCCUGUCCCCCGUCUCGGUCUUCCCCCGCCGCCAUUGCCCUCGCCUUUUUCAGGGCGGCCGCUUCUGGUUGCCUCGGCCUCCUCUCGCCGUGCCGCCGCCUCGGCCACUUUCCCCCGCCGCCACACACCGGCUAAUGGCCGCCCGUGGCUGUGGGACACUGGUGUCUGAGGUCCUUCGCGCAGGCCCAGGCCCAGGUGUCUGAGGUCGCUUCGCGCAGGCCCAGAACAGCCCAGGGAGGCAGGGACGCAGAUCCCCAACGUUCCAAAGCCAUGGCCACUCACUUAGCCUUUUAUUAUAUAGGAUGUGUUUUGUCUCAUUCACAUAUUCUGUAUUGUAAAGCGUCAUACUACAAGGAGAGGAGAGCUGGUCUUGUGGUAGCAAACAUGAAUUGUCCCCUUUGCUAAGCAAGAUCCACCCUGGUUUGAAUUUGCAUGGGAGACUACAUGUGUGAGCACUGUAAGAUAUUCCCCUCAGGGUAUGGGGCCGCUCUGGGAAAAGCAUCUGUAUGUUUGCAUGCAGAAGGUUCCAAGAUCCCUCCCUGGCUUCUCCAUGAUAGGGCUGAGAGGGACUUCUGCCUGCAACCUGGAGAAGCUGCUGUCAGUCUGGGUAGACAUGCAUCUUUUUAGGUGUACAGCUCAAAAACAAAAUGUAAAUGAAUGAAGCAGCCCUCCAAAGCCACCCUUGAAAACUGUCUUGUGUCAACUGCACAUUGCACCUGAUUAUUUUAGUGCAUAAAACUUGCGAUAAUUUGUGUGGAGGGGAAUUGUAUACUUGAAGGAGAAUUUGGGGCUCAGGGUGGGCAUGUUGAAGAAAUUUUAAUGAAGAGAAGAUAAUGGAUAAAACAUGAUGGAACACAACCAAGUGCAAGCGAAGCCUGUGUUCUGCCUUCCAGGGAGUUAUCCAGACAUGACUUCAUGCUUUGGGGUAUCCAAAGAGCAAAUCUGCUUCGGAGUAGAUUUGCAGCUGUUUUGUUCAGGUGAUUAAAUGGGCCAUUCACAUAGGGUCGGUUCUUGUCAGCAUUCCCUGCGGAUCCUUUUUCCUGUGUGCGUUCUCACAGCUUGCUCCGGGUUUUUUCUCCAACCAGCCACAUCCCAGAGGAGGAGGACAUGGGAGGGAACUCAUGAAGCCUUCAGAUACCCACCAAUGACAAGUUGGAUGUCAACCUCCAGUUGGACAGUUCUGUGGCGAGAAACUAUGGCCUCUUUCCCUGCUUAAAGACAGACCUGCACAAGGUGGAGAUCUAUGUUACAACGAUAAAAUGCCGGCAUUUGGGAAAAUGAUUGCAACAUCUCUGUCUUCUGAGUGCAGGAAAAUUCUGCUGAUGUCUCCUCUGUGACCUCCUGUGCAUGAGAAAAAUCUGAGCCAAGCUGAAACCAAAAUUUUCUGCCCCUCCACAGUAUAUUCCUUUGUGCUUCUUAAGAUAAAAGCAGUUUCACCUCCGAAGUAUAACCAUGCUUUGCUUUAA
Hemicordylus capensis (graceful crag lizard) is the source of this 1486-nucleotide long non-coding RNA. RefSeq lists it as uncharacterized. The transcript has 2 exons. NCBI's taxonomy places the organism in Eukaryota, Metazoa, Chordata, Lepidosauria, Squamata, Cordylidae. The record is from RefSeq and is a predicted model, not a curated record.